UACAGAGGUCCCAAGCGUUGUUCGGAUUCAUUGGGCGUAAAGGGUGCGUAGGCGGCGCGGGAAGUCGGGUGUGAAAUCUCGGAGCUUAACUCCGAAACUGCAUUCGAUACUGCCGUGCUUGAGGACUGGAGAGGAGACUGGAAUUUACGGUGUAGCGGUGAAAUGCGUAGAUAUUGGGAGGAACACCAGUGGCGAAGGCGACUGACUGGACCGGUACUGACGCUGAGGCGCGAAAGCGUGGGGAGCAAACGGG
This 253-nucleotide ribosomal RNA is filed under the name uncultured bacterium. RNAcentral describes it as "partial 16S ribosomal RNA". It matches the Rfam family "Bacterial small subunit ribosomal RNA", at positions 524 to 776 of the family's 1533-position model. The record is from RNAcentral.